UGGGGAAUUUUGGACAAUGGGGGCAACCCUGAUCCAGCCAUGCCGCGUGAGUGAAGAAGGCCUUCGGGUUGUAAAGCUCUUUCGGCCGGGAAGAAAUCGCAUGGGUUAAUACCCUGUGCGGAUGACGGUACCGGCAUAAGAAGCACCGGCUAACUACGUGCCAGCAGCCGCGGUAAUACGUAGGGUGCGAGCGUUAAUCGGAAUUACUGGGCGUAAAGCGUGCGCAGGCGGUUUUGUAAGACAGGCGUGAAAUCCCCGGGCUCAACCUGGGAACUGCGCUUGUGACUGCAANGCUAGAGUACGGCAGAGGGGGGUGGAAUUCCACGUGUAGCAGUGAAAUGCGUAGAGAUGUGGAGGAACACCAAUGGCGAAGGCAGCCCCCUGGGUCGAUACUGACGCUCAUGCACGAAAGCGUGGGUAGCAAACAGGAUUAGAUACCCUGGUAGUCCACGCCCUAAACGAUGUCAACUAGGUGUUGGGUGGGUAAAACCAUUUAGUACCGUAGCUAACGCGUGAAGUUGACCGCCUGGGGAGUACGGCCGCAAGGUU
Molecule: ribosomal RNA, 549 nt
Filed under: uncultured Dechloromonas sp.
Lineage: Bacteria; Pseudomonadati; Pseudomonadota; Betaproteobacteria; Rhodocyclales; Azonexaceae
Description: bacterial SSU rRNA
Rfam family: Bacterial small subunit ribosomal RNA
Source: RNAcentral